CCCACACCUAGAUUCAACCCAAAACCCAAAGUGUUUAUAAAUAAACAACUCACUUGGAUAUAAACUCACGGUACACAAUUACCGUGUGUUCAAGCUCAAAAUACAACACUCUACAUACGCCUGGUUCGCUCACGUACGAAAUCGCGUAUCUCUUCAAGCUUCUCACGGAGGACUUGCGGCUUCAUUGAUCGUCGUUGUGCGGCUUCAUAGGGUUUCCUUUUAAACUGCUUCGCUGGGAAGAAAACGUGUGCCCAAAGGUCAAACAAUUGACCUGGGCCCACCAUCACUUUCAAUUUCACGUGCAGCUUCUUUCCUCUCUCUCAUCGGAUAAAAGGAACGAAUGUCACGCCCCAAAUCUCGAGCGUGCACACAUCCCUCGGUGGUCAAUAGAAUUUUGCGACGUUCCCAAGAUUUGUCGCUGACCCCUUUCAUUUUAUUGCACAUGCGGAAGCGAAUUAACUAAUCCCUUGACAACAACAAAUAUGAGAUAGAAAAGUAGGACAACCGGUUUCAAAUCAAAUACAUUUUCAUAAACACCUCAAGCUUAUACAUAAUGUGUAUCUCAUAAGGUACUACUGAGCCACCUAUGCUAUUGACCCUUUUGCUUCAAGCUUCGGGUUCUUCACACUGGACACCUAAAAAUGGUUAUUCAAUAACUAGUGAGAUGUAAAUCUCAGCGAGUUCUUCCCCUAAUCCCUCGAUUAGUACACCAACUCAACUCAGGAUAUCUCUUCAGAACCAUCCCACAACAAACAUGAGAUUAACAAUCAACAAUCAAUAGUUGAUUCGCAUACAUCCUUACCUGAUAUGCCAUACCCUGCACGUCAUAACUUAGCACGAUUCACGCAAUGCACAUGGCCAUUAGAUGAUGUAGUUCAUUAAUCAUAUACGAAUCGCGUUACAAGCGAUCUCACCUGGCCAUUGCCACAAGAACGCGUUGUCUGGGGUAGAGGCGCGGAUGCACCGCCAUCCCUCAUCCUAGCUCAGUAUUGUCCUCUUUGGGCUCCGCACUGGAGUGGACGAACCGCUAUCCCAGUCGAGCCACCCCUCAAGGCUUAGUUCUCAGUAUAGCGGAAGCAUAUGUGAAACGCGUUAUCAAUUCAUGUGUACGUGCCAUAAACAAUGUGCUUAAUUCAUGCAUGACUAGGACUAAAGAUGCCAUGAUCCUCAUGCGUUCUUACACAUUAUUGUGCCACACAGCACACAUUGAUCAAUCACAUGGAUCCCAGUCAAUGCAACAGAUAACAGUCUUCCGGCAAACCGAGCAUCGUCUCGCACCAUCGAGCACGGCAACAUCUACAUUUAGAAGGCAUUCCAUAUAGGAGCAUUGGCCCAGCCUCCACUGCGAUUGGCAUCCAUUGACGUGGGGCAUUCCCGAAGGAGCAUCGACCCAGCAUCCACUGCGACCGGCAUCCGUUGACUUGGGGCAUUCCCGAAGGAGCAUCGUCCGACCCCAAAGACUCAUGAAGGCAUCUCAUAUCAUUCAUGCAUUCAUUCAAUUUUGGCACAGGAUAUCGUGCAUUGCACUUAAAUACCUCAAUUAAAAUAGUGAUCCUGGUCUAUUUUCUUCAUAUUAAAAAUGCAUGGUAAAAUAAUCGUGUGUGGGGACACGGUCAGAUCGAACCAGAAAAUUUGUGUCAUCUCUUUAAAAUCCCACAGUUUGGUAUAGUAUUUAAAAACACUUUCAGCGUCCAAAACCUGACACCCGGAAUUUUCUAAUUAAAUACCAACAAUUUCCAAUCACUAUACAAUUGCACAAAACAUCACCUAAUUCAUGCAGAUGCCUAUGCAUUUACACAUCCAUUCACUUCAUAAAAUCAAUAUACAUGAAAUUAGACCACUUUUCAUUCUCGGGUGAACAGUGCGCGUGAACAGUAACUUGUGAACAGUAUCGCGUGAACAGUAACUAGUGAAUAGUACGUCAUGAACAGUGAAAUUCUAGAAUUCAAUAACUAAUAAAUUAAAUCCACAAGUCAUUAAAACACUAAUUAAAGAAAGCAAAGUAUCAAGAACCAUCAUUAAACUAAAAUCGGCCUUAAUUGGUAGAAACCGGGCCUUCACGCGUCUCCAAAUUUAAAUCUAGAAACCUAACCAAUUGAGCUCGGAAAAUUUUCAAAUUUGAAUAUGUUAUAAAUGACACAUAAAAGAACAUUUUUCAUGAGACACCUAAACCCAUAUCCUUCCAGAUUCAGCGCAGUAAAUCACUCAAUCCAGCGCCAAAAUUAGGUCCGUUCUCAGAAAGUCAGUUUUUCCGAAAUCAGUUUGGUUCGAGCUCUUAAACACAUUUGUUUGAUCUGAAAUUUGAGUAUGUUAGACUAGAAGAUGUAAAAAAAAACUUUUGUGAAGGAAAUAUUUUGAAAUUCGAACCCUAAGGGUCAGUAAAUAGCCCUAGAAUCCUUACAGGUCACUAAUUCCAGUGAAAACUGAAGUUCUGUUCGAAGAUGACGAUGCUGAUAUCUCCUACUUCUGGGUUCCCAAAAAUAUUGAGAAAAAUAUAUGUUGUAUAUAAGGAUGUCUAAAACAUUUCUCUAGAAUGCAUCAACUUCAAAUUCGCGCCCGAUUUUGAUUUACAAAAAUUACAAACGGCAAGCGUCCAGGAAUCAAUUCUGCAAAACAGUCACUGUUUUGGACCAACCCAUCCUCUAUAGUGCUAAUCUCACUCAUUAUACUAAUAAUAAUCCACUCUAGACUAUCCUUAGUCCCUACUUGAGUUAAUCUAAACUAUUAUUAAGCCUAACCAACCUCUUAAGCAAGUUUAGGCACUAAUAAAAUGAUUAGGAACUAAAAUCACCCGAUGACAAUUCCGACGACAUGAGCGUGAUGGCGGUGGCGAUGGCUACUCACAGUUAUGUCCAAAAUGUCACGGAGGUGCUCGGCAAACAUGGGUCUCGAUGGAGGUGGUUUCCAAUUUGGCAAGAACGGCGGGCGGAUGGCUCGUGGAUGGGUGGUGCGGCUCUUCGGCGAUGGACGGCGGUUUGUGGACAGUGAUGGCCCACGGCCAUGGCGCAAGAUGGUGGCUGGUUUGGGACAGGACAGUAGCACAUGGUGCUGUUUUGAGAGCAAAACAGAAAAGAAACUAAAGAGAAAAGAGAAGAAGAAGAGGGACGUGGGAGUGGGGGUUGUCAAGAGGAGGAAUGGGGAAAGAGGAGAGAGAAACAAUAAAGACAUGGGAGGAAGUUGAGGGGAAAUUGCUACAGAGGGGUUGGCCUGAGUGAGGGGGUGGAAAAGUGGGAAAGAGAGGGAUAAAAAGAAGAAAGAGAGAAGAAAGGAGAGGGGGAGGAAAUUGCGUGCGAAGGAGGGGGAAAGAAAACGUGCGAGAGAGGGAGAGAGAGAAGAAAGAGAAAAGAACAUGGAGGAAGAGGACUUUUGGCCGAAGGAGGAGGAAGCGUGAAGGAGAAUAGAAAGAGGAGGAGGAAGCGUGAAGGAGAAUAGAAAGAGGAGAGAGAGAAGAAAAAUAAUAAAAGUAUUGUUAUCAUUUUUCUUUUUCUUCCAAUCUCCGAUUUUUCAUCCGAUAAUUUCUUUUUCCAAAAUUUCGGUAUGUUACAACGAAACUUGUGUGUGCUGGGCCCCACGAGGAUAACAACUUUCAGCAAGAAUUCCGAAGAAGAAAUUCGUAUACUUCAUGCAGGUAACAGAGGCUUUACUGUUUUUUUUAUUAUGUUAUUUCCUCUUUUGUAAUCCUUCAUGCAAUCCCAUGAUCAUAUAAUAAAAAUUUUAUCCAAGUGAAUUGCGUUUUGCAAACACUCAAACUCGAGACAUAAUUUAACACCAUCUCAAAGCCACGCAUCAGACAAGCAAAAACUCCAAAUCAUAAUCAAGAAAUCAAACUCCAAGCUUUGAUACCAACUGUUGGGAUAUUAUACGCAGAAAUGAUAGGAUCUUGCAAUUUACAUUAACACGAAAUCGCUAGAAAAAUAAACGAUAAAAAUAAGGAUACCAGUCGGUUCGAGUAUUGGUACCUAGAGAGCCAACAGCAAAUAAUCCACUAUAAUCGGAGUAUCAGAGUUUACGAUCGCUCAAAAUACUAAAGUGUUUCCCACAUCUAUAUUUAACUCAAAACCCAAAGUAUUUAUAAAUAAACAACUCACUUAGAUAUAAACUCACGGUGCAAAAUUACUGCGUAUUCAAGCUCAAAAUACAAUGCUCUACAUACGCUUGGUUCGCUUACGUACGAAAUCGCAUAUCUCUUCAAGCUUCUCGCGGAGGACUUGUGGCUUCGUUGAUUGUUGUUGUGUGGCUUCGGAGGGUUUCCUGUUAAAUCCCUUCGCUGGGAAGAAAACGUGUGCCCAAAGGUCAAACAAUUGACCU
Molecule: long non-coding RNA, 4308 nt
Filed under: Eucalyptus grandis
Lineage: Eukaryota; Viridiplantae; Streptophyta; Magnoliopsida; Myrtales; Myrtaceae
Description: long non-coding RNA (EGRA_LNC001973)
Source: RNAcentral